AAACCAGCACCUCAAGUGGUCAGGAGGAUGAUUGGGCCUAAAGCAUCCGUAGCCUGCUUUGUAAGUUUUCGGUUAAAUCCAUAUGCUCAACAUAUGGGCUGUCGGGAAUACUACAUAGCUAGGGAGUGGGAGAGGUAGACGGUACUCCAUAGGAAGGGGUAAAAUCCUUUGAUCUAUGGAAGACCACCUGUGGCGAAGGCGGUCUACCAGAACACGUUCGACGGUGAGGGAUGAAAGCUGGGGGAGCAAACCGGAUUAGAAACCCCGGUAGUCC
This 274-nucleotide ribosomal RNA is filed under the name uncultured bacterium. RNAcentral's name for it is "partial 16S ribosomal RNA". It matches the Rfam family "Archaeal small subunit ribosomal RNA", at positions 473 to 747 of the family's 1478-position model. The record is from RNAcentral.